UCCGUAGGUGAACCUGCGGAAGGAUUAUUAUUAUAGGGGCUUCGGCCCCUUGAGAUAGAACCCUUGCCUUUUUUGAGUACCUUUGUUUUCCUUAGCAGGCUCGCCUGCUAGUAGGGACCUAACAAACCCUUUGUAACGCCUGCAAUCGUCUAACAAAACAAACAAAAAUUAAAACUUUUAACAAUAGAUCUCUUAGUUCUAGCAUCAAUAAAGAACGCAGCGAAAUGCAAUAAGUAGUGUGAAUUGCAGAAUUUAGUAAAUUAUUAAAUCUUUAAACGCAUAUUGCGCCCUAUAGUAUUCUGUAGGGCAUGCCUGUUUAAGCGUUAUUCAACCCCUUAAGCUCUGCUUAGUGUUAGGCGUCUGUUCUGCCUUACAGCGCGGACUCGCCUUAAAUCUAUUAGCAGCUAGCACGUUGGCUUCGAGCGCAGCAGAAACGCGAACUUAAGGCCUAGCAGAUUAGCUCCUAGAAGCUACCCCCUAUGAAUUUAACCUUAGAUUAGGUAGGGAUACCUGCUGAACUUAA
Molecule: ribosomal RNA, 523 nt
Filed under: uncultured fungus
Lineage: Eukaryota; Fungi
Description: eukaryotic LSU rRNA
Rfam family: 5.8S ribosomal RNA (bases 173-326)
Source: RNAcentral